GAUGAAGAACGUAGCGAAAUGCGAUAAGUAGUGUGAAUUGCAGAAUUCAGUGAAUCAUCGAAUCUUUGAACGCACCUUGCGCCUUUUGGUAUUCCGAAAGGCACACCUGUUUGAGCGUCAUGAAUACCUCAAUCUCCAUCUUUUCUUCGGAUUGAUGGGUGACUUGGAUGUUGAGCCCUGCUGGUAUGCUAUAUCAGCUGGCUUUAAACUUAUUAGCCGGCUCUGUACUGGAUCGGUUUGACUCGACGUGAUAAUAUUAUCGUUGAGGAUGCAUGUCUCAUGCAGCCGGAAAGUAUCAAAGCAGCUUCUAGCUUGCCUUUAGUGCACUUUUACAUUUUAGACCUCAGAUCAGGUGGGACUACCCGCUGAACUUAAGCAUAUCAAUAAGCGGAGGA
RNAcentral lists this unclassified non-coding RNA (395 nucleotides) under soil metagenome. Its description in RNAcentral is "partial contains 5.8S ribosomal RNA, internal transcribed spacer 2, and large subunit ribosomal RNA". The stretch from base 1 to 120 matches the Rfam family "5.8S ribosomal RNA", at positions 35 to 154 of the family's 154-position model. The record is from RNAcentral.